GGUAAAAUGCUGACAGUUGUCACCCCACUGAUUUCCCAGGUUUAUUUGGCUGAUAUGGCUGGCUAGACAGAUGUCCCGCUCCAAGUUUGUUCCUCUCAAAGCUGUAGACUUGGUCAAAACCAAUAACUUUCACUAAUAAUAAUGUUCUGUAGUCAAGGAUCUGAGAGAAUGCAAGGAAGACUCUUCUGGGUAAGAGUCAAUAGGAAUGUAUCU
Molecule: small RNA, 213 nt
Filed under: Chelonoidis abingdonii (Abingdon island giant tortoise)
Lineage: Eukaryota; Metazoa; Chordata; Testudines; Testudinidae
Description: 7SK RNA (ENSCABG00000010827.1)
Rfam family: 7SK RNA (bases 5-169)
About the family: 7SK was discovered as an abundant small nuclear RNA in the mid-70s but a possible function has only recently been suggested. Two independent studies have found that 7SK RNA binds the CDK9/cyclin T complex (known as elongation factor P-TEFb). P-TEFb activates transcription by phosphorylating the C-terminal domain of RNA polymerase II.
Source: RNAcentral